RNAcentral lists this small nucleolar RNA (126 nucleotides) under Castor canadensis (American beaver). RNAcentral's name for it is "Small nucleolar RNA SNORA26 (ENSCCNG00000030298.1)". It matches the Rfam family "Small nucleolar RNA SNORA26". Rfam says of the family: The snoRNA HBI-6 belong to the H/ACA family of snoRNAs, guiding the pseudouridylation of position U4522 if the 28S rRNA. HBI-6 is the human orthologue of mouse MBI-6 snoRNA. The record is from Rfam by way of RNAcentral. Lineage: Eukaryota; Metazoa; Chordata; Mammalia; Rodentia; Castoridae.
GAGCCCUCAUAAGGCUACUUGUGAGCAGAGCUUAGGAGGCUAAGACAGAAGGGGAAAGGAGGUCUCCAUACAGCCCAAAGAAGAUACCACAAAACUCCUGUUUGGAUCCUGUCUGGAGUCACAGCU